CUCCCCAUCGGGCCCGUGACAACCGUCGCGAGGCCUCGACAGACAUUCUUCACCCCGAAUGUCGAUUGAAACCUCGCAAGGCUUAGCAUCAACUUUCGCAUCUCCCCGGUGAGCAACAGUUAUUAAAUCUCGCAUUUCAAAAAAAUCAUAAGUCAUUUUUAAAUAAGAACAAUAAAAUAUUAUUUUCUAGCUCACAGGGGUAUUUUCGUAAUUUUUCGUCAAAAAUCUCAAAA
RNAcentral lists this long non-coding RNA (233 nucleotides) under Theobroma cacao (cacao). RNAcentral's name for it is "long non-coding RNA (TCAC_LNC002046)". Lineage: Eukaryota; Viridiplantae; Streptophyta; Magnoliopsida; Malvales; Malvaceae. The record is from RNAcentral.